This 429-nucleotide ribosomal RNA is filed under the name uncultured bacterium. RNAcentral's name for it is "bacterial SSU rRNA". It matches the Rfam family "Bacterial small subunit ribosomal RNA", at positions 355 to 776 of the family's 1533-position model. The record is from RNAcentral.
UGGGGAAUAUUGGACAAUGGGGGAAACCCUGAUCCAGCAAUGCCGCGUGUGCGAUGAAGGCCUGAGGGCUGUAAAGCACUUUCGUUGGGGAGGAAAUACUCAAAGCUAAUACCCUUGAGAGCUGACGUUACCCAAAGAGGAAGCACCGGCAAACUCUGUGCCAGCAGCCGCGGUAAUACAGAGGGUGCAAGCGUUAAUCGGAGUUACUGGGCGUAAAGGGCGCGUAGGCUGAUGUUUAAGUUAAUUGUGAAAUCCCUGGGCUUAACCUAGGAAUUGCAGUUAAUACUGGACAUCUAGAGUAUGGUAGAGGAAAGUGGAAUUCUCGGUGUAGUGGUUAAAUACGUAGAUAUCGAGAAGAACACCGGUGGCGAAGGCGACUUUCUGGACCAAUACUGACGCUGAGGCGCGAAAGCGUGGGGAGCGAACAGG